AGAGUUUGAUCCUGGCUCAGAAUGAACGCUGGCGGCGUGCUUAACACAUGCAAGUCGAACGAUGAAGUUUAGUUUACUAAAUGGAUUAGUGGCGCACGGGUGAGUAAUAUAUAGAUAACGUGCCUCUUAGUCUGGGAUAGCCAUUGGAAACGAUGAUUAAUACUAGAUACUCCUUCUAACUCUAAUGUUAGUUGGGAAAGUUUUUCGCUAAGAGAUCGGUCUAUAUCCCAUCAGCUAGUUGGUAGUGUAAGAGACUACCAAGGCUAUGACGGGUAGCGGGUUUGAGAGGAUGAUCCGCCACACUGGUACUGAGACACGGACCAGACUCCUACGGGAGGCAGCAGUGAGGAAUAUUGCACAAUGGAGGAAACUCUGAUGCAGCAACGCCGCGUGGAGGAUGACGCAUUUCGGUGUGUAAACUCCUUUUAUAUGUCAAGAAAAUGACGGUAGCAUAUGAAUAAGCACCGGCUAACUCCGUGCCAGCAGCCGCGGUAAUACGGAGGGUGCAAGCGUUAUUCGGAAUCACUGGGCGUAAAGGACGCGUAGGCGGGAAGCCAAGUCUGAUGUGAAAUCCUAUGGCUCAACCAUAGAACUGCAUUGGAAACUGGUUACCUAGAGUAUGGGAGGGGGAGAUGGAAUUAGUGGUGUAGGGGUAAAAUCCGUAGAUAUCACUAGGAAUACCGAAAGCGAAGGCGAUCUCCUGGAACAAUACUGACGCUAAGGCGUGAAAGCGUGGGGAGCAAACGGGAUUAGAUACCCCGGUAGUCCACGCCCUAAACGAUGAACACUAGUCGUCGGAAUGCUAGUCAUUUCGGUGAUGCACUUAACAGAUUAAGUGUUCCGCCUGGGGAGUACGGUCGCAAGAUUAAAACUCAAAGGAAUAGACGGGGACCCGCACAAGUGGUGGAGCAUGUGGUUUAAUUCGAAGAUACGCGAAGAACCUUACCUACCCUUGACAUCCAGAGAAUCUGUUAGAGAUAGUAGAGUGCCUUCGGGAACUCUGAGACAGGUGCUGCAUGGCUGUCGUCAGCUCGUGUCGUGAGAUGUUGGGUUAAGUCCCGUAACGAGCGCAACCCUUAUCCUUAGUUGCUAGCAGGUCAAGCUGAGAACUCUAAGGAGACUGCCGGUGAUAAACCGGAGGAAGGUGGGGACGACGUCAAGUCAUCAUGGCCCUUAUGGGUAGGGCUACACACGUGCUACAAUGGUCGGUACAGAGGGCCGCGAACUCGCGAGAGUAAGCUAAUCCCAGAAAGCCGAUCUUAGUCCGGAUUGCAGUCUGCAACUCGACUGCAUGAAGUUGGAAUCGCUAGUAAUCGCGAAUCAGAAUGUCGCGGUGAAUACGUUCCCGGGCCUUGUACACACCGCCCGUCACACCAUGGGAGUGGGUUGCAAAAGAAGUGGGUAGACUAACCCGCCUUUUUCGGAAGGAGAGAGGUCGCUCACCACUUUGUGAUUCAUGACUGGGGUGAAGUCGUAACAAGGUA
RNAcentral lists this ribosomal RNA (1484 nucleotides) under uncultured sediment bacterium. RNAcentral's name for it is "bacterial SSU rRNA". It matches the Rfam family "Bacterial small subunit ribosomal RNA". The record is from RNAcentral.